This 448-nucleotide long non-coding RNA is filed under the name Setaria italica (foxtail millet). Its description in RNAcentral is "long non-coding RNA (SITA_LNC004375)". The record is from RNAcentral. Lineage: Eukaryota; Viridiplantae; Streptophyta; Magnoliopsida; Poales; Poaceae.
GACGCGGGCAGCGACAACCGGGGCCAGCUGCUGCUGUUCGUGGUGGCGCCCGCCAUCGGGUGGGUGCUCUACAACAUCCUGCAGCCGGCGCUGAACCAGCUCAACCGCAUGCGCAGCCAGGCGGUCAUCGCCGGCGUGGGCCUCGGCGCCGCCGCCACCGCCGCGGGGAUGGCGUGCGCGCCCGAAGCCUCGGCCGCUGUCCAGGACCUCGCCGCGCUGGCGGCCGCCGCGGCUGCCCCCGCCGACGACAACCGGGGCCUGCUGCUGCUCAUCGUCGUCGCGCCCGCCAUUGGGUGGGUUCUCUUCAACAUCCUCCAGCCCGCGCUCAACCAGCUCAACCGCAUGCGGUCCGACUGAGCGAGCUCUCUUGCCAAGCACCUGCAGUGCGUGUGCGUUCGUGUGUAUUAAAAUUAAGGAUGGUAGUAACGUGAAUCGCGGUCUGCGUGCC